AUGGCCGACGACCCUCGCUUCCUCAAGCUCAAGCUCCCCAGGCCGCACAUCAUCCAAGAGCACGAGAAAGCAUGGAUGACUGACGAGGAGUUCGCGAGGGAGACGCUAGCCGGCGUCAACCCCAUGAUGAUCAAACGUCUCACGGAGUUCCCUCCCAAGAGCACUCUGGAUCCUAGCAAGUACGGCGACCACACCAGCACCAUCACCGAGGCGCACAUCGGCGAGCACCUGGAGGGCCUCACCGUGCACCAGGCGCUCACCAGCAACAGGCUCUACAUCGUGGACCAGCACGACAACCUGAUGCCGUUCCUCAUCAACAUCAACAACCUCAAGGACAGCUUCGUGUACGCGACCAGGACCCUGCUCUUCCUGCAAGGGGACGGCACGCUCGCCUCGGUCGCCAUCGAGCUCAGCUCGCCCCUGCUCCAGGGAGACCUGACCACGGCUGAGAGCACCGUGUACACGCCGGAGGACACCGGCGUCGAGGGCUGGGUAUGGCAGCUCGCCAAGGCCUACGUCGCCGUGAACGACUACGGCUGGCACCAGCUGAUCAGCCACUGGCUCAACACGCACGCGGUGAUGGAGCCCUUCGUCAUCGCGACCAACAGGCAGCUCAGUGUGACCCACCCGGUGCACAAGCUCCUGCACCCGCACUACCGCGACACCAUGAACAUCAACUCGCGAGCUCGGGGUAUGCUCAUCAACGCCGACGGCGUCAUCGAGAUGACCGUGUUCCCGGGCAAGCAUGCUAUGCCCAUGUCUUCCAUGGUCUACAAGAACUGGAACUUCACCGAGCAAGCUCUACCAGACGAUCUAAUCAAGAGGGGCAUGGCCGUGGAGGACCCAUCGAGCCCGCACAAGGUGCGGCUGCUGAUCGAGGACUACCCAUACGCCGCGGACGGGCUCGCCGUCUGGCACGCGAUCGAGCAGUGGGUGGCAGACUACCUGACCAUCUACUACCCCAACGAUAGCGUGCUGCAGGGCGACGUGGAGCUACAGGCGUGGUGGAAGGAGGUGCGGGAAGUCGGGCACGGCGACCUCAAGGAUGCGGCAUGGUGGCCCAAGAUGCAGACAGUGGCGGAGCUGAUCAAGGCAUGCGCCACCAUCAUCUGGAUUGGGUCGGCGCUCCACGCGGCCGUCAAUUUCGGGCAGUACGCCUACUCGGGCUACCACCCCAACAAGCCGUCCAUGAGCCGCCGACCGAUGCCGGUGCCGGGCAGCGAGGAGUACGCGGAGCUGGCGCGUGACCCGGAGCGGGCGUUCAUCCACACCAUCACCAGCCUGCUCCAGGCCCUGGUGGGCAUCUCGCUCAUGGAGAUCCUCUCCAAGCACUCCUCUGACGAGGUGUACCUGGGCCAGCACGACACGCCGGCGUGGACGUCGGACGCCAAGGCACUGGAGGCGUUCAAGCGGUUCGGGGCCAGACUGGAGGGCAUCGAGAAGCAGGUGGAGGCCAGGAACCAAGAUUCGCGGCUAAAGAACCGCAUCGGGCCGGCCAAAUUCCCGUACAUGCUGCUCUUCCCCAACACCUCCGACCACACGGGCGAGGCCGAGGGGCUCUCGGCCAAGGGCAUCCCCAACAGCAUCUCCAUCUGA
This 1596-nucleotide ribosomal RNA is filed under the name Triticum aestivum (bread wheat). RNAcentral describes it as "partial small subunit ribosomal RNA". The record is from RNAcentral. Lineage: Eukaryota; Viridiplantae; Streptophyta; Magnoliopsida; Poales; Poaceae.